Molecule: long non-coding RNA, 657 nt
Organism: Dalotia coriaria
Lineage: Eukaryota; Metazoa; Arthropoda; Insecta; Coleoptera; Staphylinidae
Exons: 3
Source: RefSeq, a predicted model, not a curated record
AGUAAGUCGAUUUAAAUUCAAUAAAUGAUAAAUUAAAUAAAUGUGAUAGCACUUGUCGAAUGUUAGGUUCCGACGGUCGUCGGUGAUUGUUUUUCGUUUGUGGAAUUCUAUUCCAUUCGUGGAAGUCCACAUGUGAACAGCGGGUGUUAAGUGGGCUACCGUAGGUUCAGUUAUUUUUUCGCACAUCAGAAUAACUUGGAUUUAUAAAUAGUGUUUGGAAAUGAGCAUAUUUUACGGCAAGUCUUUAUAGCUACGAGAUUUGAUGUUUUCACACGCAAUUUUUGUCAAUUUUGAAAAGUUGCGGUGGAAAAUGGUGAUUGAAGAGGAGUUCUUUAAUCGUAUGAACUACAUUCAGUCACCAUCAAGGGUCGGGAAGGGCCCUUAAAUCACUCUCAAACUUCAACCAUUUUUGUCAUUUUUGAAGAGUUGAGGUGGAAAAUGGGCAGUAUAUCGCGUUUACUUGACUGGAUUUUGUUUCUGUUUGCUUCAGGUGAUAGAGGAAGAGUUCUUUAAUGCAAAUGAACAACUUUGAUGCCCAGACAAGAAGUUUGUGAAUGCACGAAUGGAGUUUGCAAUAUCUAUAAGGGAAAUGAUGGAGAUGCGAGUGUUUUAAGGCAAGUUUUUACUACUUCCGAAUUUGCUAGCUGUCGAUAUUUU